GAGAUCUUAAGAUGAAAGCCAUCCAUUUGGCUCCUUAUGUGCUUCACAUAUGUUAAAUGCAAUGUUUAAUUAAUGAUAUAGGUUAUAGUGACUAUUCUUAGAAAUAUAUGUAGUCUAAGAAGAAAUGCAAACUUAUGACAAGUUCACGAUCACCAAAUAUAAACCUGCCCAAUAAGAUGAUUAUGAUGAAGUACGCAGUUUAACUCAAUGCAUGGGUGAGGGAAGGAUGGGUAGUUGUAAGAUCCAUACUUGGGAGAACUCAGCAUACAAUGUUAAAUAUGUUGUAGUUUACAAAGAUACACCACUUUAAAGCAAUCAUUUCACUUUCCUUUAAAAGCUAAUGCUGUUAAUUUAUUCAUAAAGGUGAGAAAGGCAUGCGUACCUUCGUUGUGUGGGUUAAAGGCAAUUAGUAAACACAACAGAGAACUGAGAUUUGGAGACAGCCUAGCUAACGUAACAGCUGGCUAGAGCAAUUGGUUAUCUUUUCAGAAAACUAAUUUUGUUGAACAGUAUGCUGUUCAUCAUGUGUUUGUGCAUUUAGGGCUGAAUCUUGAAGGAGAUGCAAGAGCUGAUUUUCAGGAUCAAGUAUUGGGGUAAAGAGACAAUGAGGAGGAGGCAGUCAGGAAUUGAUUUUCUUCCAGUGUUGAGGAAGUCAUACUAUGGC
RNAcentral lists this long non-coding RNA (664 nucleotides) under Elaeis guineensis (African oil palm). RNAcentral's name for it is "long non-coding RNA (EGUI_LNC046513)". Lineage: Eukaryota; Viridiplantae; Streptophyta; Magnoliopsida; Arecales; Arecaceae. The record is from RNAcentral.